GGCCUAAUACAUGCAAGUCGAGGGGUAACAGGAAAGCUUGCUUUUGCUGACGACCGGCGCACGGGUGCGUAACGCGUAUGCAACCUACCUCAUACUGGAGCAUAGCCCUUGGAAACGGGGAUUAAUACUCCAUGGUAUCAUGAAUUCGCAUGUUUUCAUGAUUAAAGAAUUUCGGUAUGAGAUGGGCAUGCGUCCCAUUAGCUAGUUGGUGAGGUAACGGCUCACCAAGGCGACGAUGGGUAGGGGGCCUGAGAGGGUGGUCCCCCACACUGGUACUGAGACACGGACCAGACUCCU
This 297-nucleotide ribosomal RNA is filed under the name Alexandrium tamarense. RNAcentral describes it as "partial Bacterial small subunit ribosomal RNA". It matches the Rfam family "Bacterial small subunit ribosomal RNA", at positions 46 to 340 of the family's 1533-position model. Lineage: Eukaryota; Dinophyceae; Gonyaulacales; Pyrocystaceae. The record is from RNAcentral.